This 249-nucleotide ribosomal RNA is filed under the name uncultured bacterium. RNAcentral's name for it is "partial 16S ribosomal RNA". It matches the Rfam family "Bacterial small subunit ribosomal RNA", at positions 15 to 244 of the family's 1533-position model. The record is from RNAcentral.
GAUCCUGGCUCAGGAUGAACGCUGGCGGCGUGCUUAACACAUGCAAGUCGAACGAAGCUACUUAACUGAUCUUCUUCGGAAUUGACGUUUUGUAGACUGAGUGGCGGACGGGUGAGUAACGCGUGGGUAACCUGCCCUGUACAGGGGGAUAACAACCAGAAAUGGUUGCUAAUACCGCAUAAGCGCACAGGACCGCAUGGUCCGGUGUGAAAAACUCCGGUGGUAUAGGAUGGACCCGCGUUGGAUUAG